UACGAAGGGGGCUAGCGUUGCUCGGAAUGACUGGGCGUAAAGGGCGCGUAGGCGGAUGGUACAGUCAGAUGUGAAAUUCCCGGGCUCAACCUGGGGGCUGCAUUUGAUACGUAUGAUCUUGAGUGGGGAAGAGGGUCGUGGAAUUCCCAGUGUAGAGGUGAAAUUCGUAGAUAUUGGGAAGAAUACCGGUGGCGAAGGCAGCCCACUGGUCCGGUACUGACGCUGAGGUGCGAAAGCGUGGGGAGCGAACAGG
This 253-nucleotide ribosomal RNA is filed under the name uncultured bacterium. RNAcentral's name for it is "partial 16S ribosomal RNA". It matches the Rfam family "Bacterial small subunit ribosomal RNA", at positions 524 to 776 of the family's 1533-position model. The record is from RNAcentral.